AAGUUAUUUAGUUUGUUUUGAAAACAAACGUAGACAUUUAGGUCGUAGCUUU
RNAcentral lists this transfer RNA (52 nucleotides) under Allodiplogaster sp. MY-2022. Its description in RNAcentral is "tRNA-Ser". Lineage: Eukaryota; Metazoa; Nematoda; Chromadorea; Rhabditida; Diplogasteridae. The record is from RNAcentral.